RNAcentral lists this small nuclear RNA (300 nucleotides) under Carlito syrichta (Philippine tarsier). RNAcentral describes it as "7SK RNA (ENSTSYG00000023907.2)". It matches the Rfam family "7SK RNA". From Rfam's summary of the family: 7SK was discovered as an abundant small nuclear RNA in the mid-70s but a possible function has only recently been suggested. Two independent studies have found that 7SK RNA binds the CDK9/cyclin T complex (known as elongation factor P-TEFb). P-TEFb activates transcription by phosphorylating the C-terminal domain of RNA polymerase II. The record is from RNAcentral. Lineage: Eukaryota; Metazoa; Chordata; Mammalia; Primates; Tarsiidae.
GGAUGUGAGGGUGAUCUGGCUGUAACAUCUGUCAUCCCAUUGAUCCAGGGAUGAUUCAGCUGAUCUGGCUGUCUAGGAAAGUGUCCCCUUCCCUCCCUCACCACUUUAUGUAUGUCCCUCCUGAAGCUGGACAUUUGAUGGAAGAGGAUGACCUUCCCUGAUAGAGGAGGACUGUUCUUCAGUCAAGGGUAUAGAGUAGUGGUACUCCUCUGCUAGAACCUCCAAACAAACACUCAAGAGCCUCAGUGACUUGUAAGCACAUUCAAGUUUGAGAAUCGCUGGCCUGUGUCAUCUGCCUCU